UACGUAGGGUGCUAGCGUUGUCCGGAUUUAUUGGGCGUAAAGGGCUCGUAGGCGGCGUGUCGCGUCGGGAGUGAAAGCCCGCUGCUUAACGGCGGGUUGGCUUCCGGUACGGGCAUCGCUGGAGUGCGGCAGGGGAGACUGGAAGUUCCUGGUGUAGCGGUGGAAUGCGCAGAUAUCAGGAGGAACACCGGUGGCGAAGGCGGUCUGCUGGGCAGUAGCUGGACACUGAGGCGCGACAGCGUGGGGGAGCAAACAGG
Molecule: ribosomal RNA, 257 nt
Filed under: uncultured bacterium
Lineage: Bacteria
Description: partial 16S ribosomal RNA
Rfam family: Bacterial small subunit ribosomal RNA
Source: RNAcentral